RNAcentral lists this ribosomal RNA (613 nucleotides) under uncultured Glomeromycotina. RNAcentral's name for it is "SSU rRNA". It matches the Rfam family "Eukaryotic small subunit ribosomal RNA", at positions 373 to 991 of the family's 1831-position model. Lineage: Eukaryota; Fungi; Glomeromycota. The record is from RNAcentral.
GGGCACGACACCGGAGAGGGAGCCUGAGAAACGGCUACCACAUCCAAGGAUGGCAGCAGGCGCGCAAAUUACCCAAUCCCGACACGGGGAGGUAGUGACAAUAAAUAACAAUACGGGGUUCUUUCGGAUCUCGUAAUUGGAAUGAGUACAAUUUAAAUCUCUUAACGAGGAACAAUUGGAGGGCAAGUCUGGUGCCAGCAGCCGCGGUAAUUCCAGCUCCAAUAGCGUAUAUUAAAGUUGUUGCAGUUAAAAAGCUCGUAGUUGAAUUUCGGGAUCAGAUUGUCGGUCGUGCCUCGGUACGCACUGGCAUUAUUGGUUCCUACCUUCUGAAGAACCGCGAUGUCAUUAAUUUGGUGUCGUGGGGAAUCAGGACUGUUACUUUGAAAAAAUUAGAGUGUUUAAAGCAGGCGCACGCUUGAAUACAUUAGCAUGGAAUAAUGAAAUAGGACGUUUGAUUCUAUUUUGUUGGUUUCUAGGAUCGACGUAAUGAUUAAUAGGGAUAGUUGGGGGCAUUAGUAUUCAAUUGUCAGAGGUGAAAUUCUUGGAUUUAUUGAAGACUAACUACUGCGAAAGCAUUUGCCAAGGAUGUUUUCAUUAAUCAAGAACGAAAGUU